GAUGAACGCUGGCGGCGUGCCUAAUACAUGCAAGUCGAGCGAACGGACCAGAAGCUUUCUUCUCUGAUGUUAUCGGCGGUCGGGUGAGUAACUUGUGGUUAACCUACCUAUAAGACUGGGAUAAUUUCGCGAAAUCGUAGCUACUACCGGAUAAUAUUUUGAACCGCAUGGUUCAAACGUGAAAUACGGUCUUUCUUUCACUUAUAGAUUGAUCCGCACUGCAUUAGCUAGUUGGUAAGGUAACGGCUUACCAAGGCAACGAUGCAUAGCCGACCUGAGAGGGUGGUCGGACACACGGGAACUGAGAAACGGUCCAGACUCCGACGGGAAGCAGCAGUAGAGAAUCUUACGCAAUGGGCGAGAGCCUGACGGAGGAACGCCGGGUGAGUGAUGAAGGACUUCGGAUCGUAAAACUCUGUUAUUAGGGAAGAACAUAUGUGUAAGUAACUGUGCACAUCUUGACGGUACCUAAUCAAAAAGCCACGGCUAACUACGUG
Molecule: ribosomal RNA, 497 nt
Filed under: uncultured bacterium
Lineage: Bacteria
Description: partial 16S ribosomal RNA
Rfam family: Bacterial small subunit ribosomal RNA
Source: RNAcentral